UAGCUAGUUGGUGAGGUAAAGGCUUACCAAGGCGACGAUCUGUAGCGGGUCUGAGAGGAUGAUCCGCCACACUGGAACUGAGACACGGUCCAGACUCCUACGGGAGGCAGCAGUGGGGAAUUUUGGACAAUGGGGGCAACCCUGAUCCAGCCAUGCCGCGUGAGUGAAGAAGGCCUUCGGGUUGUAAAGCUCUUUCGGCCGGGAAGAAAUCGCAUGGGCCAAUACCCUGUGUGGAUGACGGUACCGGAAUAAGAAGCACCGGCUAACUACGUGCCAGCAGCCGCGGUAAUACGUAGGGUGCGAGCGUUAAUCGGAAUUACUGGGCGUAAAGCGUGCGCAGGCGGUUUUGUAAGACAGGCGUGAAAUCCCCGGGCUUAACCUGGGAACUGCGUUUGUGACUGCAAGGCUAGAGUACGGCAGAGGGGGGUGGAAUUCCACGUGUAGCAGUGAAAUGCGUAGAGAUGUGGAGGAACACCAAUGGCGAAGGCAGCCCCCUGGGUCGAUACUGACGCUCAUGCACGAAAGCGUGGGUAGCAAACAGGAUUAGAUACCCUGGUAGUCCACGCCCUAAACUAUGUCAACUAGGUGUUGGGUGGGUAAAACCAUUUAGUACCGUAGCUAACGCGUGAAGUUGACCGCCUGGGGAGUACGGCCGCAAGGUUAAAACUCAAAGGAAUUGACGGGGACCCGCACAAGCGGUGGAUGAUGUGGAUUAAUUCGAUGCAACGCGAAAAACCUUACCUACCCUUGACAUGCCAGGAACUUGCCAGAGAUGGCUUGGUGCCCGAAAGGGAGCCUGGACACAGGUGCUGCAUGGCUGUCGUCAGCUCGUGUCGUGAGAUGUUGGGUUAAGUCCCGCAGCGAGCGCAACCCUUGUCGUUAAUUGCCAUCAUUUAGUUGGGCACUUUAACGAGACUGCCGGUGACAAACCGGAGGAAGGUGGGGAUGACGUCAAGUCCUCAUGGCCCUUAUGGGUAGGGCUUCACACGUCAUACAAUGGUCGGUACAAAGGGUUGCCAAGCCGCGAGGCGGAGCCAAUCCCAGAAAGCCGAUCGUAGUCCGGAUUGCAGGCUGCAACUCGCCUGCAUGAAGUCGGAAUCGCUAGUAAUCGUGGAUCAGCAUGUCACGGUGAAUACGUUCCCGGGUCUUGUACACACCGCCCGUCACACCAUGGGAGCGGGUUCCGCCAGAAGUAGGUAGCCUAACCGCAAGGGGGGCGCUUACCACGGCGGGGUUCGUGACUGGGGUGAAGUCGUAACAAGGUAGCCGUAGGGGAACCUGCGGCUG
RNAcentral lists this ribosomal RNA (1287 nucleotides) under metagenome. RNAcentral's name for it is "bacterial SSU rRNA". It matches the Rfam family "Bacterial small subunit ribosomal RNA", at positions 242 to 1520 of the family's 1533-position model. The record is from RNAcentral.